AACCACGGCUGAGGAGCCAUCCCCGUCAGCUCUGGUCCUUCAGGCUCCACAGGAAGAUCUGGACAACACCCCGAGGUCACCAUGGAGAUCCCACAGUGACCUCUGACACCUCCUGUGGUGGCACCUGAGGUCACCAACCCCAACCCAACCGUGGCUGACAGGUGACCCAGCUCAGCUCAUUGUCCUCCAGGCUCCACAGGAAGAUCUGGACAACACCCCGAGGUCACCAUGGACAUCCCUGACACCGUGGGGACCUCGGACACCUCCCUGGUGGUACCAGGUGUACCCCAGGUGUACCCAGGUGUCCCCAGGUGCAUCCAGGUGUCCCCAGGUGUAUCUCAGGUGUCCCCAGGUGUCCCCAGGUGUGUCCAGGUGUCCCCAGGUGUAUCUCAGGUGUACCCAGGUGUCCCCAGGUGUGUCCAGGUGUGUCCAGGUGUACCUUCUGGCCGAUGGCAGACACCAGGUAGCCGUGACAGUGACACAGGGCUGUCACCGGUCCCUUCUGCUCCUUCUCGUAGAGCACCUUGAACUUGUUCUUGGUGAGCGGCUGUCCCGGCUCCGGAACCACCUCGAUNUGUCAUUGUCACCAUGUCAUUGUCACUGGCAUUGUCACCGUGUCAUUGUCACCAGUAGUGUCACCGUGUCAUUGUCACAGUGUCACUGCCAUCACCAUUGCCGCCGUCGUCUUUGUGUCAUUGUCACCGUCACUGUCAGUAUCACUGUCACCAUCGCACCACUGUCACCGUGUCAUUGUCACCGUCAUGUCAUUGUCAUUGUCACCAUCACUGUCAGUAUCACUGUCACCAUCACACCACUGUCACCGUGUUGUUGUCAUCAUCAUGUCAUUGUCAUUGUCACCGUCACUGUCAUUGUCACCACCACCACCAUUGUCAUUGUCACUGUGUCACUGUCAUUGUCACAUCAUUGUCACAGUGAUGAUGACAACCGUGACAUGUCAUGACAAUGACAAUGACAGUCAUCC
RNAcentral lists this long non-coding RNA (982 nucleotides) under Parus major (Great Tit). Its description in RNAcentral is "lncRNA (ENSPMJG00000002221.1)". The record is from RNAcentral. Lineage: Eukaryota; Metazoa; Chordata; Aves; Passeriformes; Paridae.